RNAcentral lists this ribosomal RNA (883 nucleotides) under uncultured bacterium. RNAcentral describes it as "bacterial SSU rRNA". It matches the Rfam family "Bacterial small subunit ribosomal RNA", at positions 52 to 916 of the family's 1533-position model. The record is from RNAcentral.
GGCAUGCAAGUCGAACGAUCCCUUUCUUCGGAGGGGGAUAGUGGCAAACGGGUGAGUAACACGUGAGUAAUUUACCAUUUGGUUCGGAAUAACUUACCGAAAGGUAAGCUAAUACCGGAUGAGACCACGAUUCCAAAGGGAUAGUGGUUAAAGGCGGGGAUCCUGAAAAUGGACCUGUCGCCGAAUGAUGAGCUCGCGUCCUAUCAGCUUGUUGGUGGGGUAACGGCCUACCAAGGCGAAGACGGGUAGCUGGUCUGAGAGGAUGGUCAGCCACACUGGGACUGCGACACUGCCCAGACUCCUACGGGAGGCUGCAGUCGAGAAUCUUUUGCAAUGCCCGAAAGGGUGACAAUGCGACGCCGCGUGAGCGAUGAAGGCCUUCGGGUUGUAAAGCUCUGUCAGCUCGGAUGAAUGCGGGAGAAUUAAUACUUCUUCCGUUUGACGGUACGAGCAGAGGAAGCCACGGCUAACUCCGUGCCAGCAGCCGCGGUAAUACGGAGGUGGCAAGCGUUGUUCGGAUUUACUGGGUGUAAAGGUCAUGUAGGCGUCUUAUUAAGUCGGAUGUGAAAUCCCUUGGCUCAACCAAGGAACUGCAUUCGAUACUGGUAAGAUUGAGUACGGGAGAGGUAAGCGGAAUUCCGGAAGUAAGGGUGAAAUCUGUAGAUAUCCGGAAGAACACCAUUAGCGAAGGCGGCUUACUGGUCCGAUACUGACGCUGAAAUGAGAAAGCUAGGGGAGCAAACAGGAUUAGAUACCCUGGUAGUCCUAGCUGUAAACGAUGGGCACUAGGUGCAGGCCCGCGAGGGGCUGUGUCGUAGCUAACGCGUUAAGUGCCCCACCUGGGGACUACGGCCGCAAGGCUAAAACUCAAAUGAAUUGACGG